AAGCAAUAUAAGUAUCUGGCAAGAGUACCAAACGGAUCCUAAAUUAAUGAAACAUUUCAAAUGAAGAUGAUGAUGUAGCUCACAAGAGUUUGUACAUGUUCAAGCAACAGGAAUCGAGCUCCCCGUUCCUAUGGAAAUGUUCUUUGCUCCACAAAACGCAGGAAUUUUUACAUCCACUCGGAGCCAAAGUUUUCCGUGGAAGCUCUCAAGGUGUGCUCGCGCGGCUGAGGGAGAUAGAGCGCGGAGGAGUGGCUGUGUGGUGCUACAGAAAGACAGAAGAGCCAACGAGCGGGCUGCCGUCGUCAGAGUCGUCGGCGCCGGCGCCGGCGGUGCUGCUGUCCUGCUGCAGCCGCACGCUUCCCAUGCUGCCGGCUGCCGUAGCGUCUCAACCCACGCCGCUCUCCAGAGCAUCCGGCCGCCGUGGCUUGCUCCCACAGUCCCACGCCUUCCUAGCUGUGGUCGCUCUCCAUUGCUUUGACAAUGAGGACAUCGAGGGCAUGGAUGGAGCGGCUCCAUUGGAGCCCUGGGAGCGAGCUACGAGAUGGGGAUUCAGAAAAACCGAGGUGAAGAGGUAACAGAUAAGGUAGUGAUGGAUAAGAACGAUGGUGUAUGCUGAACAUAGGUCGACUGAGUUCAUGGGCCAAGGUCCCACCUGUAAAAAAUCUCAUACCAUCUUAAACAUACACGUUCACGUUCAUGUAUGUCAAAGUACUGUAAUCUAAUGUCGUAAUAUUUUCUUCCUCA
Molecule: long non-coding RNA, 744 nt
Organism: Setaria italica (foxtail millet)
Lineage: Eukaryota; Viridiplantae; Streptophyta; Magnoliopsida; Poales; Poaceae
Exons: 2
Source: RefSeq, a predicted model, not a curated record